GCCCAGUUAUGUGGUCGGAGAGAAUGAUGAAGGUGUGUGAUGAGCAAGAUGGAGAAGCAGGGCACGUGCAUUACUAGCUCAUAUAUACACUCUCACCACAAAUGCGUGUAUAUAUGCGGAAUUUUGUGAUAUAGAUGUGUGUGUGUGUGUUGAGUGUGAUGAUAUGGAUGAGUUAGUUCUUCAUGUGCCCAUCUUCACCAUCAUGACCACUCCACCUUGGUGACGAUGACGACGAGGGUUCAAGUGUUACGCACGUGGGAAUAUACUU
This 268-nucleotide precursor RNA is filed under the name Arabidopsis thaliana (thale cress). RNAcentral's name for it is "pre-miRNA 164b". The stretch from base 40 to 210 matches the Rfam family "MIR164 microRNA precursor family". The record is from RNAcentral. Lineage: Eukaryota; Viridiplantae; Streptophyta; Magnoliopsida; Brassicales; Brassicaceae.